GUGGGGAAUCUUCCGCAAUGGACGAAAGUCUGACGGAGCAACGCCACGUGAGUGAAGAAGGUUUUCGGAUCGUAAAGCUCUUUCGUUAGGGACGAACGUGCUCUUUGUGAAUAAUGAGGAGUAAUGACGGUACCUAAAUAAGAAGCCACGGCUAACUACGUGCCAGCAGCCGCGGUAAUACGUAGGUGGCAAGCGUUGUCCGGAAUUAUUGGGCGUAAAGCGCGCGCAGGCGGGAUAUCAAGUCUGUCUUAAAAGUGCGAGGCUCAACCUCGUGAGGGGACAGAAACUGGUAUUCUUGAGUGUCGGAGAGGAAAGUGGAAUUCCAAGUGUAGCGGUGAAAUGCGUAGAGAUUUGGAAGAACACCAGUGGCGAAGGCGACUUUCUGGACGAUGUCUGACGCUGAGGCGCGAAAGCUAGGGGAGCGAACGGGAUUAGAUACCCUUGUAGUCC
RNAcentral lists this ribosomal RNA (450 nucleotides) under uncultured bacterium. Its description in RNAcentral is "partial 16S ribosomal RNA". It matches the Rfam family "Bacterial small subunit ribosomal RNA", at positions 354 to 796 of the family's 1533-position model. The record is from RNAcentral.